UUAAGUGACGAUAGCCUAGGAGAUACACCUGUUCCCAUGCCGAACACAGAAGUUAAGCCCUAGCACGCCUGAUGUAGUUGGGGGUUGUCCCCUGUUAGAUAUGGUAGUCGCUUAGC
Molecule: non-coding RNA, 116 nt
Organism: Streptococcus lutetiensis 033
Lineage: Bacteria; Bacillati; Bacillota; Bacilli; Lactobacillales; Streptococcaceae
Source: Rfam